CUUGGUCAUUUAGAGGAAGUAAAAGUCGUAACAAGGUCUCCGUAGGUGAACCUGCGGAGGGAUCAUUACAAGUGACCCCGGUCUUACCACCGGGAUAUUCAUAACCCUUUGUUGUCCGACUCUGUUGCCUCCGGGGCGACCCUGCCUUCGGGCGGGGGCUCCGGGUGGACACUUCAAACUCUUGCGUAACUUUGCAGUCUGAGUAAACUUAAUUAAUAAAUUAAAACUUUUAACAACGGAUCUCUUGGUUCUGGCAUCGAUGAAGAACGCAGCGAAAUGCGAUAAGUAAUGUGAAUUGCAGAAUUCAGUGAAUCAUCGAAUCUUUGAACGCACAUUGCGCCCCCUGGUAUUCCGGGGGGCAUGCCUGUUCGAGCGUCAUUUCACCACUCAAGCCUCGCUUGGUAUUGGGCAACGCGGUCCGCCGCGUGCCUCAAAUCGUCCGGCUGGGUCUUCUGUCCCCUAAGCGUUGUGGAAACUAUUCGCUAAAGGGUGUUCGGGAGGCUACGCCGUAAAACAACCCCAUUUCUAAGGUUGACCUCGGAUCAGGUAGGGAUACCCGCUGAACUUAAGCAUAUCAAUAAGCGGAGGA
RNAcentral lists this ribosomal RNA (589 nucleotides) under uncultured fungus. RNAcentral's name for it is "eukaryotic LSU rRNA". The stretch from base 225 to 378 matches the Rfam family "5.8S ribosomal RNA". Lineage: Eukaryota; Fungi. The record is from RNAcentral.